UGAUGACUGUUCCUCUUGCUGUCAUAAGCCUUAGACAGUAGGAUUUUAUGUCAUCAAAUAUUAAAGUUGACCUUUCUUCACUCAAAGUGUCUUUGGAUGGGUUUGGCUGUCCGUUGGCACUAUUGAAUUUUGCGGGGUCAGACAAUC
Sceloporus undulatus (fence lizard) is the source of this 147-nucleotide small nucleolar RNA. RefSeq annotates it as small nucleolar RNA SNORA79. The record is from RefSeq and is a predicted model, not a curated record. The transcript has a single exon. Lineage: Eukaryota; Metazoa; Chordata; Lepidosauria; Squamata; Phrynosomatidae.